GUACAAUGUUUAAAAUGAAAUUAAGGCCACUUAGAACACGUAAAGGUGGUUGAAGUCAAGUUACGGCCACUUAGAACACGUAAAGGAAUUUUCUGAGUCGUCUUCUUCAAUCAAUGACGAACCAAUACGAACCCAUGCGAACAAUUUUGAAAUGACUUCGACUUUUAGAAAAAAUCAACACAAAAAAGCCAUAAAGCUAUAAAAACCAGAGGUGAAAGGAAGAAGAAGAAGGAGAAGAAGAAGAAGAAGAAGAAGAAGAAAGACUGUUGAGAAUUAAUAUGGGGAAGAUAGUUUUCUCGCCGAUGAAAGAAGUCAUUGCUUUCGACUUCACAGGAUUUCUCAUGGCUCUGCUCGUUGCCAUCGCUGUUUUGAUCACCUGUCUUGUACCUCGACGGAGAGCCACAGUUGUUCUGGCGCAUCGCUGUUUUAAUCUCUGAUUGUUUUGUUAGUUCAUCCUAAAUCAUCCCAAAUGAAUGCUUGAUUAUAAAAAUAUACUACAGUGAACUUCUGCGUUAUUCAAUUAUCGUUUGAUAAUUACUGAGAUAAAACUCGUUGAUUAGUGUUUGCUACUAUCAACUCCACUCUAUAAAUCAAACAAUGUAUGUGUUCCAACCAAUUUUACUACACUUUAUUAGGAAACUCUCUCUCUCUCUCUCUCUCUCUCUAUAUAUAUAUAUAUAUAUAUAUCAUUUAUGUAGAAGUCAAUCAACUGUAAGCUUCUGAGUUGCACUAGGAAUACGGAGAAGUGCAGAUACGGGCUUACAUUAGCAUCUCCCCUGAAUUCCAGCUGUUUGAUUUUGGCCGGGCUUUAGAUAAUUACGAGCAACUCUCUCGCCCGG
RNAcentral lists this long non-coding RNA (839 nucleotides) under Carica papaya (papaya). Its description in RNAcentral is "long non-coding RNA (CPAP_LNC012056)". Lineage: Eukaryota; Viridiplantae; Streptophyta; Magnoliopsida; Brassicales; Caricaceae. The record is from RNAcentral.